AAACGUUAGGGGAUCGAAGAUGAUCAGAUACCGUCGUAGUCUUAACCAUAAACUAUGCCGACAUAGGGAUCGGGCGUUGUUCUUUUUAUGACUCGCUCGGCACCUUACGAGAAAUCAAAGUUUUUGGGUUCUGGGGGGAGUAUGGUCGCAAGGCUGAAACUUAAAGGAAUUGACGGAAGGGCACCACCAGGAGUGGAGCCUGCGGCUUAAUUUGACUCAACACGGGAAAUCUCACCAGGUCCAGACACAAUAAGGAUUGACAGAUUGAGAGCUCUUUCUUGAUUUUGUGGGUGGUGGUGCAUGGCCGUUCUUAGUUGGUGGAGUGAUUUGUCUGCUUAAUUGCGAUAACGAACGAGACCUUAACCUACUAAAUAGUGCUGUUAGCUUCGGCUGAACUGGCACUUCUUAGAGGGACUAUCGAUUUCAAGUCGAUGGAAGUUUGAGGCAAUAACAGGUCUGUGAUGCCCUUAGACGUUCUGGGCCGCACGCGCGCUACACUGACGGAGCCAGCAAGUACUAUCCUUGGCCGAAAGGUCCGGGUAAUCUCGUGAAACUCCGUCGUGCUGGGGAUAGAGCAUUGAAAUUAUUGCUCUUCAACGAGGAAUUCCUAG
This 611-nucleotide ribosomal RNA is filed under the name Kuraishia cf. molischiana GoToruMA324. RNAcentral describes it as "SSU rRNA". It matches the Rfam family "Eukaryotic small subunit ribosomal RNA", at positions 985 to 1617 of the family's 1831-position model. Lineage: Eukaryota; Fungi; Ascomycota; Pichiomycetes; Pichiales; Pichiaceae. The record is from RNAcentral.